This is a long non-coding RNA of Mobula hypostoma (lesser devil ray), 1324 nucleotides long. RefSeq lists it as uncharacterized. The record is from RefSeq and is a predicted model, not a curated record. The transcript is spliced from 3 exons. Lineage: Eukaryota; Metazoa; Chordata; Chondrichthyes; Myliobatiformes; Myliobatidae.
GCCCCGAUGGGGUUUGGAAAGCAUUAUUAAGCGGGGCACAGAGGUAGAAGGCAUUCCAUGUGGAGCCUUUGAAUGCUACAUUACAAGUUAUGUGCAGUACUAUAUUUGGAAAGUGUCAUGCCAAUUGGAAAGGUCUUCAGGAUGACAAGCAUUAAGAAUACACCAGUACCACUCCUCUAGUCCUGUAGCCAAUGUCUGUUCACUGGCUCAGACUGCUGCUGCCUGUGCUGUGAUGUCCAGUCCAUGCUCAGCCUUCUAAACUCGCAAGUUUGCUUGUCAAGAUCACCCUGCAAAGCUACUCCACCGCCAAGUCAAAAGCUUCCAUAAGCCAUAUAGCACUUUUCAUAUGUCCUCCUGACAGACAGAAGACAGGCACUGGAGUGCAGAAGAGCCUUUAGUAAUUGUGUGUUUGGCAUAUUUGGUUUUAAUGAUUAUUUAGUGUUGUCUUUUUAAAUUGUGUUUAUGGAUAUUUUGGUGGUCCAUAACAGAGGGUGAAUAAACUAUGAAAUUAAUGGUAAAUAGAAAUGUGGAUUAUAAUUAAGUUCUACAAUUGAAUUAAUUUGAGAGAACUUUAGUAAGGAAAGGUCGUCCAAGCUGCGGCCUCUUUGUUUUCUUCCGCAUUCUUCUUUUCCUCGUGCUUUUGACCUCCACCUGCUCAUUGUGUAGCUAGAGUGAGCGAGUGCAAACCAGCAGACCACCCUAAAUCCUGUUAUCUAUCUCUGCCAAGAACUGCCAUAUGGAACAGGCUACAGAAGUGUUUGUUCGAUCAGAUAUGAGGCAGCAGUAGGGUUUUCAUGAUGCUUAUGUCACAAAUGUGCAUCAGAAUGACUUGUCGCAUCAUCAGCAGAUAGCCCAGUAAACACACUGGUUUUUUGUGAUGGCUCAAAGGCUAUCAGGCUUGGGAAGUGAAAGCAGUUUGGCUGCUGCAUAGAUACUGGCCUUUCAUUCACAAAGUUCACUGUAUAUUGUCAUGUACCAAUAGAAUAAUGAUUGGAACAUUCCAGGUCAGGGAAGAGUGCAACGGUGCCAUGGUAGCAUAGUGGAUAGCGCAACGGUAUUACAGCUGGGGGCAUCAGAGUUCAGAAUUCAAUCCCAGAGUCCUCUGUAAGGCGUCUGUAUGACCUCCCUAUGGAAUGCGUGGGUUGUCUCUUAGUGCUCCCACAGUCCAAAGACGUAACAGUUAGUAGGUUAAUUGGUUAUUGUUAAUUGCCCCGUGAUUACAUUAGGGUGUAAUCGAGGAUUGUCGGGGGUUGCUGGGCGGUGUGGAUCACAGGGCCAGAGGAGCCUAGUUUGUGUUAUAUCUAUAAAUUAUUACAUACAUACA